CCUCAAAGCUUGUAUCAUUACUAUCACUCUAAAUGGCUAUCAUGAUUUUUUUUUAUACUUUUUUAGAUUUUUUUUAAGUAGAAAGCAAUCGAUCUUGAAAUAUUCGGACUUCUUACAUUCAUAGCAAAAGAUUAGCUGCUCCUUUUUCUUCUCUUUGCUUGCUUCCCGCUUGAUUGAGCUGUUCAUCUUGAACCUUUAUCUCUUUCUCCUCAUUAGUCUUCUGAAUUUUCUAGUAAUCAUAGCCAUUUCAUCUUCAUUAGUGGACUCGUCC
This 271-nucleotide long non-coding RNA is filed under the name Elaeis guineensis (African oil palm). Its description in RNAcentral is "long non-coding RNA (EGUI_LNC032378)". Lineage: Eukaryota; Viridiplantae; Streptophyta; Magnoliopsida; Arecales; Arecaceae. The record is from RNAcentral.